AGUGAACGCUGGCGGUAGGCCUAACACAUGCAAGUCGAACGGCAGCACAGUAAGAGCUUGCUCUUACGGGUGGCGAGUGGCGGACGGGUGAGGCAUACAUCGGAAUCUACUUUUUCGUGGGGGAUAACGUAGGGAAACUUACGCUAGUACCGCAUACGACCUACGGGUGAAAGCAGGGGAUCUUCGGACCUUGCGCGAUUGAAUGAGCCGAUGUCGGAUUAGCUAGUUGGCGGGGUAAAGGCCCACCAAGGCGACGAUCCGUAGCUGGUCUGAGAGGAUGAUCAGCCACACUGGAACUGAGACACGGUCCAGACUCCUACGGGAGGCAGCAGUGGGGAAUAUUCGACAAUGGGCGCAAGCCUGAUCCAGCCAUACCGCGUGAGUGAAGAAGGCCUUCGGGUUGUAAAGCCCUUUUGUUGGGAAAGAAAAGCAGCAGGUUAAUACCCCGCUGUUCUGACGGUACCCAAAGAAUAAGCACCGGCUAACUUCGUG
This 492-nucleotide ribosomal RNA is filed under the name uncultured bacterium. Its description in RNAcentral is "partial 16S ribosomal RNA". It matches the Rfam family "Bacterial small subunit ribosomal RNA", at positions 29 to 507 of the family's 1533-position model. The record is from RNAcentral.